RNAcentral lists this ribosomal RNA (484 nucleotides) under uncultured bacterium. RNAcentral's name for it is "partial 16S ribosomal RNA". It matches the Rfam family "Bacterial small subunit ribosomal RNA", at positions 30 to 507 of the family's 1533-position model. The record is from RNAcentral.
AUUGAACGCUGGCGGAAUGCUUUACACAUGCAAGUCGAGCGGCAGCACGGGGGCAACCCUGGUGGCGAGCGGCGAACGGGUGAGUAAUACAUCGGAACAUGCCCAGUCGUGGGGGAUAACACUUCGAAAGAAGUGCUAAUACCGCAUACGUCCUGAGGGGGAAAGCGGGGGAUCGCAAGACCUCGCGCGAUUGGAGUGGCCGAUGUCAGAUUAGCUAGUUGGUGGGGUAAAGGCCUACCAAGGCAACGAUCUGUAGCUGGUCUGAGAGGAUGAUCAGCCACACUGGGACUGAGACACGGCCCAGACUCCUACGGGAGGCAGCAGUGGGGAAUUUUGGACAAUGGGGGCAACCCUGAUCCAGCCAUUCUGCGUGAGUGAAGAAGGCCUUCGGGUUGUAAAGCUCUUUCGGCAGGAACGAAACGGUGAGCUCUAACAUAGCUUGCUAAUGACGGUACCUGAAGAAGAAGCACCGGCUAACUACGUG